This 280-nucleotide unclassified non-coding RNA is filed under the name Hevea brasiliensis (rubber tree). The record is from RNAcentral. Lineage: Eukaryota; Viridiplantae; Streptophyta; Magnoliopsida; Malpighiales; Euphorbiaceae.
UAAAACUUACAAUUUCGUUACCAGUAGCCAUAUAUCUCAAUCUUUUCAAAGAAAACCCAGAAACAGAAAAAGCUAACUUUGCUCAAAGAGAUGAUAAUCGGUUGAAACAGAAUUCAGAUAUGAAACUUCUUAGCAAAAGAUUGAGCUUUUAGUGAGGUGUAGCCUGAAGGGUGUCUGAAAUGGGAACUGAGGAAGGAUGUAACACGGCGGUGGACGGCGGUGUUGCCGGUGAACGAAAAAGGAAAGUGAGGCUAACAAAGAAGAUGAUGUUUUAAGCAAG